RNAcentral lists this ribosomal RNA (619 nucleotides) under uncultured bacterium. RNAcentral's name for it is "bacterial SSU rRNA". It matches the Rfam family "Bacterial small subunit ribosomal RNA", at positions 338 to 944 of the family's 1533-position model. The record is from RNAcentral.
CCUACGGGAGGCAGCAGUAGGGAAUCUUCCGCAAUGGAUGAAAGUCUGACGGAGCAACGCCGCGUGAACGAUGAAGGCCUUCGGGUCGUAAAGUUCUGUUGUUAGGGAAGAACAAGUGCUAGUUGAAUAAGCUGGCACCUUGACGGUACCUAACCAGAAAGCCACGGCUAACUACGUGCCAGCAGCCGCGGUAAUACGUAGGUGGCAAGCGUUGUCCGGAAUUAUUGGGCGUAAAGCGCGCGCAGGCGGUUUCUUAAGUCUGAUGUGAAAGCCCCCGGCUCAACCGGGGAGGGUCAUUGGAAACUGGGAAACUUGAGUGCAGAAGAGGAAAGUGGAAUUCCAAGUGUAGCGGUGAAAUGCGUAGAGAUUUGGAGGAACACCAGUGGCGAAGGCGACUUUCUGGUCUGUAACUGACGCUGAGGCGCGAAAGCGUGGGGAGCAAACAGGAUUAGAUACCCUGGUAGUCCACGCUGUAAACGAUGAGUGCUAAGUGUUAGAGGGUUUCCGCCCUUUAGUGCUGAAGUUAACGCAUUGAGCACUCCGCCUGGGGAGUACGGUCGCAAGACNGAACACAAGAAGUAGAGNGAGAGACGCGACGACGACGACGAGGAGGAGGAGG